Molecule: long non-coding RNA, 1023 nt
Organism: Sander lucioperca (pikeperch)
Lineage: Eukaryota; Metazoa; Chordata; Actinopteri; Perciformes; Percidae
Exons: 3
Source: RefSeq, a predicted model, not a curated record
AUAUCUGCAUGACUGUCCUCCCAAGAGGAACGACAGCAUCAGUUGUUUUAUCAACUGCCCCAAAACGAGUGACAAAGCCUUCUAGCAGCCGUAAUAAUUCUGACAAGGGCAAAAGGGCUCGAUGGAGUUUUAAGCCCCCAACGUCGACUUCAAGGCAGCGCUGCAACCGUCGACUUCAAGGCACCUAACCCUAACCUUAACCCUAACCAUUGCCUAAUCCCGGCAAAAGGAGGAUGUCCAGUGACAAAGUUCCCUUAGUUAGGAGAUUGGGGCGGAUGGAUGGGACAAAAAAACUUUGGACUUUAACACAGAAGACAAAAGGACACACAACUUCCUGCAUUGGCACUGGAUGUAAAGCGUGCAGAAUCAUAAAUAAGGAAUAAGGAAGUAAUUCCUCGGAUACUGUGCUUGAUGAACACCAUGUGGUAUAGUCAGAAGCUCCGGAAAAAGACAGAGACGGCUGUGAGCCACUUCUCCUGACAAUACAGCUCAUAGUGGCAAUGUCGCAAUGCAGCAGCACCGAGGUGGACGAGCAGAAAGACAGCCACAGUGAACCAGGAUGGUCCGAAAAGUGAGUAUAUCUUCUCACAUCUGAUGUCUGGGGCUGCUGUUUCUGACCGGCCACCCUGUUCAGCACUCACUGUAACUGAAUCAUAUCUCGCCCUCUCCAUCUCCCUUUGUCGUCACAUUCAGCAGACUCAGGUCUGUCUAUCUGUGUGGCUUGUUAGCAGCUGCAUUUGGCCCAAGGAUAAAAUAUGUCUCAAUUUUUCUGGGAGGCAAAAUAAUUGAUUGGGAAGUGUGGCAUAAAAUGACAUACACUUUGGGGUGUAUGCUUGUUGGUAACUGGUGCUCACUGGAUUUUGGUGUUUAGAGAAGAAGACAAGCUACCUGGAGAAGAGCCAUUCACACCCCUCUUUAUGAAAUUGUUCUCAUGGGUAUGAUUAGGGGGGUUAUCAAGCAGAGAAGCAUCUAAUGUGUGGAGUCCACUUCCUGCCGCCAGUACUGUAAUAAAGUACCUUCUUG